Molecule: ribosomal RNA, 253 nt
Filed under: uncultured bacterium
Lineage: Bacteria
Description: partial 16S ribosomal RNA
Rfam family: Bacterial small subunit ribosomal RNA
Source: RNAcentral
UACGUAGGUGGCAAGCGUUGUCCGGAUUUACUGGGCGUAAAGAGCGCGCAGGCGGCUGGUCAAGUCCGAUGUGAAAUCUCCCGGCUUAACUGGGAAACUGCAUCGGAAACUGAUCGGCUUGAAGGUGGGAGAGGGUAGUGGAAUUCCCGGUGUAGUGGUGAAAUGCGUAGAUAUGCGGAGGAACACCGAUGGCGAAGGCAAUCCCCUGGGCCUGCACUGACGCUCAUGCACGAAAGCGUGGGGAGCAAACAGG